Molecule: ribosomal RNA, 253 nt
Filed under: uncultured bacterium
Lineage: Bacteria
Description: partial 16S ribosomal RNA
Rfam family: Bacterial small subunit ribosomal RNA
Source: RNAcentral
UACGGGGGGGGCAAGCGUUGUUCGGAAUUACUGGGCGUAAAGGGCUCGUAGGCGGCGCGUUAAGUCGGGUGUGAAAGCCCUGGGCUCAACCCAGGAAGUGCAUUCGAAACUGGCGCGCUUGAAUAUGGAAGAGGGUCGCGGAAUUCCCGGUGUAGAGGUGAAAUUCGUAGAUAUCGGGAGGAACACCAGUGGCGAAGGCGGCGACCUGGGCCAAUAUUGACGCUGAGGUGCGAAAGCGUGGGGAGCAAACAGG